This 313-nucleotide long non-coding RNA is filed under the name Elaeis guineensis (African oil palm). RNAcentral's name for it is "long non-coding RNA (EGUI_LNC074094)". Lineage: Eukaryota; Viridiplantae; Streptophyta; Magnoliopsida; Arecales; Arecaceae. The record is from RNAcentral.
UUCUGACAGGUCCAAAUUUGCCCUUAAGUCGGUCUAGUUGUUUUCUUCAUUGAAUUUCUCCACUCAAAGCGAAGGUAGGUCAAUCUCAAGAGGUAUCAUAGCUUCAAUUCUGAAGGCUAAACUGAACAGGGUCCCUCCAGUGGGAACCCAUUGCGUUGUUCGAUACGCCCAAAGUAUAUUAUAAAGCUCCUUGACCCAUAGCCCCUUGGCUCAGUCCAGCCUCAUUUUUAGUCCCUACAACAAAGUCCAAUUGGUCACUUCAACUUUUCCAUUACUCUGAGGGUGAGCAACAAAGCCAAGUGGUAGGAGAUCC